RNAcentral lists this ribosomal RNA (465 nucleotides) under uncultured bacterium. RNAcentral's name for it is "partial 16S ribosomal RNA". It matches the Rfam family "Bacterial small subunit ribosomal RNA", at positions 338 to 795 of the family's 1533-position model. The record is from RNAcentral.
CCUACGGGUGGCAGCAGUGGGGAAUAUUGCGCAAUGGGCGAAAGCCUGACGCAGCGACGCCGCGUGAGGGAUGAAGGUCUUCGGAUCGUAAAGCUCUGUUGGUAGUGAAGAAAGAUAGAGGUAGUAACUGGCCUUUAUUUGACGGUAAUUACUUAGAAAGUCACGGCUAACUACGUGCCAGCAGCCGCGGUAAUACGUAGGUGGCAAGCGUUGUCCGGAUUUAUUGGGCGUAAAGCGAGUGCAGGCGGUUCAAUAAGUCUGAUGUGAAAGCCUUCGGCUCAACCGGAGAAUUGCAUCAGAAACUGUUGAACUUGAGUGCAGAAGAGGAGAGUGGAACUCCAUGUGUAGCGGUGGAAUGCGUAGAUAUAUGGAAGAACACCAGUGGCGAAGGCGGCUCUCUGGUCUGCAACUGACGCUGAGGCUCGAAAGCAUGGGUAGCGAACAGGAUUAGAUACCCCAGUAGUC